CCUACGGGUGGCAGCAGUGAGGAAUAUUGGUCAAUGGGCGCGAGCCUGAACCAGCCAAGUAGCGUGAAGGAUGACUGCCCUACGGGUUGUAAACUUCUUUUAUACAGGAAUAAAGUGAGGCACGUGUGCCUUUUGUAUGUUCUUUAGUAAUAAAGAUCGGCUAACUCCGUGACAGCAGCCGCGGUAAUACGGAGGAUCCGAGCGUUAGCCGUAUUUAUUGGUUUUAAAGGGAGAGUAGAUGGGUUGUUAAGUCAGUUGUGAAAGUUUGCGGCUCAACCGUAAAAUUGCAAUUGAUACUGGCAGUCUUGAGUACAGUAGAGGUAGGCGGAAUUCGUGGUGUAGCGGUGAAAUGCUUAGAUAUCACGAAGAACUCCGAUUGCGAAGGCAGCUUACUAGACUGCCACUGACAUUGAUGCUCGAAAGUGUGGGUAUCAAACAGGAUUAGAUACCCUAGUAGUC
Molecule: ribosomal RNA, 459 nt
Filed under: uncultured bacterium
Lineage: Bacteria
Description: partial 16S ribosomal RNA
Rfam family: Bacterial small subunit ribosomal RNA
Source: RNAcentral